GCAGUGGUGGUUCAGUGGUAGAAUUCUUGGCCUCCAUGCAGGAGACCCAGGUUCGAUUCCCCGCCAGUGUA
RNAcentral lists this transfer RNA (71 nucleotides) under Loxodonta africana (African savanna elephant). It matches the Rfam family "tRNA". Rfam says of the family: Transfer RNA (tRNA) molecules are approximately 80 nucleotides in length. Their secondary structure includes four short double-helical elements and three loops (D, anti-codon, and T loops). Further hydrogen bonds mediate the characteristic L-shaped molecular structure. tRNAs have two regions of fundamental functional importance: the anti-codon, which is responsible for specific mRNA codon recognition, and the 3' end, to which the tRNAs corresponding amino acid is attached (by aminoacyl-tRNA synthetases). tRNAs cope with the degeneracy of the genetic code in two manners: having more than one tRNA (with a specific anti-codon) for a particular amino acid; and 'wobble' base-pairing, i.e. permitting non-standard base-pairing at the 3rd anti-codon position. Lineage: Eukaryota; Metazoa; Chordata; Mammalia; Proboscidea; Elephantidae. The record is from Rfam by way of RNAcentral.